GAUGAACGCUGGCGGCGUGCCUAAUACAUGCAAGUCGAGCGAACAGAUGAGGAGCUUGCUCCUCUGACGUUAGCGGCGGACGGGUGAGUAACACGUGGAUAACCUACCUAUAAGACUGGGAUAACUUCGGGAAACCGGAGCUAAUACCGGAUAAUAUAUUGAACCGCAUGGUUCAAUAGUGAAAGACGGUUUUGCUGUCACUUAUAGAUGGAUCCGCGCCGCAUUAGCUAGUUGGUAAGGUAACGGCUUACCAAGGCAACGAUGCGUAGCCGACCUGAGAGGGUGAUCGGCCACACUGGAACUGAGACACGGUCCAGAGUCCUACGGGAGGCAGCAGUAGGGAAUCUUCCGCAAUGGGCGAAAGCCUGACGGAGCAACGCCGCGUGAGUGAUGAAGGUCUGCGGAUCGUAAAACUCUGUUAUUAGGGAAGAACAAAUGUGUAAGUAACUAUGCACGUCUUGACGGUACCUAAUCAGAAAGCCACGGCUAACUACGUG
RNAcentral lists this ribosomal RNA (497 nucleotides) under uncultured bacterium. RNAcentral's name for it is "partial 16S ribosomal RNA". It matches the Rfam family "Bacterial small subunit ribosomal RNA", at positions 28 to 507 of the family's 1533-position model. The record is from RNAcentral.